CCUACGGGAGGCAGCAGUGGGGAAUAUUGGGCAAUGGGCGCAAGCCUGACCCAGCAACGCCGCGUGAAGGAAGAAGGCUUUCGGGUUGUAAACUUCUUUUCUCAGGGACGAAGAAAGUGACGGUACCUGCGGAAUAAGCCACGGCUAACUACGGGCCAGCAGCCGCGGCAAUACGUAGGUCGCAAGCGUUCUCCGGAUUUAUUGGGUGUAAAGGGCGUGUAGGCGGGAGCGCAAGUCAGAUGUGAAAAGUCAGGGCUCAACCCUGGGCCUGCAGUUGAAACUGUGUGUCUUGAGUGCUGGAGAGGCAUGCGGAAUGCCAGGUGUAGCGGUGAAAUGCGGAGAUAUACGGAGGAACACCAGUGGCGAAGGCGGAUUGCUGGACAGUAACUGACGCUGAGGCGCGAAAGCGUGGGGAGCGAACAGGAUUAGAUACCCUAGUAGUC
RNAcentral lists this ribosomal RNA (443 nucleotides) under uncultured bacterium. RNAcentral's name for it is "partial 16S ribosomal RNA". It matches the Rfam family "Bacterial small subunit ribosomal RNA", at positions 338 to 795 of the family's 1533-position model. The record is from RNAcentral.